UACGAAGGGGGCUAGCGUUGUUCGGAAUUACUGGGCGUAAAGCGCACGUAGGCGGAUAUUUAAGUCAGGGGUGAAAUCCCGCAGCUCAACUGCGGAACUGCCUUUGAUACUGGGUAUCUUGAGUAUGGAAGAGGUAAGUGGAAUUCCGAGUGUAGAGGUGAAAUUCGUAGAUAUUCGGAGGAACACCAGUGGCGAAGGCGGCUUACUGGUCCAUUACUGACGCUGAGGUGCGAAAGCGUGGGGAG
RNAcentral lists this ribosomal RNA (245 nucleotides) under uncultured Rhizobium sp. Its description in RNAcentral is "partial 16S ribosomal RNA". It matches the Rfam family "Bacterial small subunit ribosomal RNA", at positions 524 to 768 of the family's 1533-position model. Lineage: Bacteria; Pseudomonadati; Pseudomonadota; Alphaproteobacteria; Hyphomicrobiales; Rhizobiaceae. The record is from RNAcentral.